AAACUGAGGGGAUGAGCUGUGGAUAGGGGUGAAAGGCCAAUCAAACUUAGAGAUAGCUGGUUCUUCGCGAAAUUUAUUGAGGUAAAGCGUUCAAUUUUGGUCAAAAGGGGUAGAGCACUCAUUAAGCUAUGGGGGCCCAAAGCCUUACUGAUCUUUGUGAAACUCCGAAUACUUUGUGACUUGAAGUUGAAUAGACAGACUUAAAGUGCUAAGGUUUUAAGUCAAAAGGGAAACAGCCCAGAAUUUUUGCUAAGGUCCUUAAACAAUAAGUAAGUGGAUAAAGAAGUUUAUUUCCGACAACAACUAGGAAAUUGGCUUGGAAGCAGCCAUUUUAUGAUGAAAGCGUAAUAGCUCACUAGUCGAGGAAAAAAGCACUGACAAUGUAUCGGGGCUCAACUUAUUUACCGAAGCAAUGUAGAAAGAGGUAGCGAAGCGUUUUGUAAACCGAUGAAGAUGUCUUGUGAAAGAUAUUGGAGGAUUCAAAAGUGAAUAUACUGACAUGAGUAACGAAAAAAUCAUGUGAAAAUCAUGAUCGCCGUAAGUUCAAGGGUUUCUGCGGUCCGCUUCUCGGCGCAGAGUGAAUCGGCUUCUAAAUUUCAUGUGAAA
This 606-nucleotide ribosomal RNA is filed under the name Ostreococcus mediterraneus. Its description in RNAcentral is "partial Bacterial large subunit ribosomal RNA". It matches the Rfam family "Bacterial large subunit ribosomal RNA", at positions 793 to 1407 of the family's 2925-position model. Lineage: Eukaryota; Viridiplantae; Chlorophyta; Mamiellophyceae; Mamiellales; Bathycoccaceae. The record is from RNAcentral.